UUAAGGUCGCGUCGACGCGUCCAAGCUCUCUCGAAGGCGAUUUCGCUCUCAAGGACAACUACGAACGGCGAAUAAGACGCAAUAUCUUAGGACACGUGGUGACCGAUGCGCACGUCUCCAACCAGUCUGAGAACCGAUACGGAAUCCCAAAGAGAGAAGCGCCGUUGGCUUAUGCGUGAGCUCCACAACACGUAACUUCCACGCGUAGGAUAUUCCUCUUCCUUCGAUUGACGGGCAUCACUUAAUCACUCUCAAAUAUGACUCAAAAGAGACAACGAAGGAGAAAGAGAGAGAGAGAGAGAGAGAGGGA
Long non-coding RNA from Vespa mandarinia (Asian giant hornet), 310 nucleotides. The record is from RefSeq and is a predicted model, not a curated record. NCBI's taxonomy places the organism in Eukaryota, Metazoa, Arthropoda, Insecta, Hymenoptera, Vespidae.